AUGAGGUACCUUCUCGACCGUAGCGCCGACCCAUCCAUGGCCGAUGACAGGGGCUCCGUGUCACUGCACAAUGCAGCAGAGGAAGGACACUGCGAGGCUGUGAGGCUAUUGCUGUCCAAAGGGGUUCAUGUGGACGCUAUGGAUCAUCGGGGCACGCCAUUACACUUGGCGGUUGCAAAGGACCAUGUUGAGGUUGUGAAGGUUCUGCUGGAGCAUGGUGCUGAUCCCAACAGAGUGGCUAAUCACGUCUUUUCACCACUCAUGAUGGCCGUCUGUGGAAAGGCCUUGAAAUGCAUGAAGCUACUGAUUGAGGCUGGCGCUGACGUGAAUGUUCAUGGUUACUCUGGACCAACUCCUUUAACGGAAGCAGUUGAUGAUGGCUUAAUGGACUUUGUCAUGAUUUUACUAGAGGCUGGAGCCGACGCUAACAUCCCUAACCAGCAUGGCGCAGUUCCAAUUGAGCUAGCAGCAGCUCGUGGUCAACGUGAGCUUGUUGAAAUGCUGUUUCCUAAGACAAAACCCAUUCCAUCUCAGCCAGUUUGGAGCGUUAAUGGGAUAAUGAAUACUGCAAGAUCUCCACAUAUCAAGCAUCAGGACGCAUCUUCUGUGGAACAACGGAUAGCUGAUUUGAAGUCAUGUGGAAAGGAAGCAUUUGGGAAGGAAGACUAUAUUACAUCGAUGUACUUCUUGCUGAAAUCUGAGAUGGGCUCUAGGCCCAUAUUGCAAUUUCUGAAAAAUCUCUAA
Molecule: ribosomal RNA, 744 nt
Filed under: Triticum aestivum (bread wheat)
Lineage: Eukaryota; Viridiplantae; Streptophyta; Magnoliopsida; Poales; Poaceae
Description: partial small subunit ribosomal RNA
Source: RNAcentral